This 483-nucleotide ribosomal RNA is filed under the name Salmonella enterica. RNAcentral's name for it is "bacterial SSU rRNA". It matches the Rfam family "Bacterial small subunit ribosomal RNA", at positions 1050 to 1533 of the family's 1533-position model. The record is from RNAcentral. Lineage: Bacteria; Pseudomonadati; Pseudomonadota; Gammaproteobacteria; Enterobacterales; Enterobacteriaceae.
UGUCGUCAGCUCGUGUUGUGAAAUGUUGGGUUAAGUCCCGCAACGAGCGCAACCCUUAUCCUUUGUUGCCAGCGGUCCGGCCGGGAACUCAAAGGAGACUGCCAGUGAUAAACUGGAGGAAGGUGGGGAUGACGUCAAGUCAUCAUGGCCCUUACGACCAGGGCUACACACGUGCUACAAUGGCGCAUACAAAGAGAAGCGACCUCGCGAGAGCAAGCGGACCUCAUAAAGUGCGUCGUAGUCCGGACUGGAGUCUGCAACUCGACUCCAUGAAGUCGGAAUCGCUAGUAAUCGUGGAUCAGAAUGCCACGGUGAAUACGUUCCCGGGCCUUGUACACACCGCCCGUCACACCAUGGGAGUGGGUUGCAAAAGAAGUAGGUAGCUUAACCUUCGGGAGGGCGCUUACCACUUUGUGAUUCAUGACUGGGGUGAAGUCGUAACAAGGUAACCGUAGGGGAACCUGCGGUUGGAUCACCUCCUUA